CCCUUAGAUGUUCUGGGCCGCACGCGCGCUACACUGACGAAUGCAACGAGCUUAUAACCUUGGCCGAAAGGUCUGGGUAAUCUCCAAAUUUCGUCGUGAUGGGGAUAGAUUAUUGCAAUUAUUAAUCUUCAACGAGGAAUGCCUAGUAAGCGCAAGUCAUAAGCUUGCGUUGAUUACGUCCCUGCCCUUUGUACACACCGCCCGUCGCUACUACCGAUUGGACGUUUUAGUGAGGAUUUUGGACUGAGCCAAUGGUGGUUCACACCACUGUUGUGCAUGGAAAGAUCUCCAAACUUGAGCGUUUAGAGGAAGUAAAAGUCGUAACA
Molecule: ribosomal RNA, 326 nt
Filed under: uncultured eukaryote
Lineage: Eukaryota
Description: partial 18S ribosomal RNA
Rfam family: Eukaryotic small subunit ribosomal RNA
Source: RNAcentral